This 301-nucleotide unclassified non-coding RNA is filed under the name uncultured Agaricales. Its description in RNAcentral is "sequence contains 5.8S rRNA gene, ITS2, 28S rRNA gene". The stretch from base 1 to 52 matches the Rfam family "5.8S ribosomal RNA", at positions 103 to 154 of the family's 154-position model. The record is from RNAcentral. Lineage: Eukaryota; Fungi; Basidiomycota; Agaricomycetes; Agaricales.
AACGCACCUUGCGCUCCUUGGUAUUCCGAGGAGCAUGCCUGUUUGAGUGUCAUUAAAUUCUCAACCUCACCAGUUUUGUAACGAGACCGGUGAAGGCUUGGAUGUGGGGGUUUUGCAGGCUGCCUUAGUGCUGGUCUGCUCCUCUGAAAUGCAUUAGCGAGCUCAUACUGAGCUUCCGUCUAUUGGUGUGAUAAUUAUCUACGCCGUGGAUUUGGACUCAUGCUUGCUUCUAACCGUCCGCAAGGACAAUUUACUUGACCAAUUUGACCUCAAAUCAGGUAGGACUACCCGCUGAACUUAA